AAUAGAUGUGAAAGAUGUCGAUGGUGCACCUCUGGGUCCUUAAAAUCUUGAGCCCAUUCCAUUAUAGAACCGUCUUCAGCAAUUUUUGUUGGAUGAAGCCUUGGUUGAGCCUCACGCACUUUUUGAAUAAGAAAAUCAUUCUGUCUGUCCAGAAUCUCAGAAGCUGAGAUAAUUGAAGAAAACACUUCUUUUAUGAUUGCCAUGUCCAUGGUUGAUGAAUAGCUCACACAAGCUGGCUUACCAUCUGGAGCAAUAAACAUGUGUUCUGGAGAAGUUGACGGAUUAGUUUCCAAAUAUCCUUCAUGCCCUUCAACCAGCCAGUCCAACAAAAACGAUACACAUCCUUCCAAAAGAGGAUAUGCCUCAGUUCUGAGAAAAUCCUUGUCCAUUGAGUAAUUAUAGUGCUCCCAUAAAUGGGUACAAAGCCAUGCCCCACCCAUUGGCCACAAUCCAGAAAGGACAUCUGUUCCAUCUGCUGAUGAUUUUGCCCAUAUGUCAGACUUAUGAUGUACAACCCAACCACUUGUUUCAUAGUUAACUUGUGCUGUUUUACUUCCAUUAAUUGACAGGGACUUAAUAAAAUCAAAGAGGGGCUCCUGGCAUUCACUAAGGUUGCAAGGCAAGGAUGGCCAGUAGUUCAUCUCAAGAUUGAUGUUCAGGUGAGGAGCAGAAUCCCAUUUUGGCUGAAGAUCUUUGUUCCAUACUCCCUGCAGGUUUGCCACCUGAGUUCUAGGGCGAGAGCAAGAAAUAAGUAAAUAUCGGCCAAACUGGAAUAGCAGCUCAACUAAGGAUGGAUCCUCAUCAGAUUGAAAAGAUUUUAUCCUCUCAACCGUUGGAAUUAAAUCAUCUUUGCUCCCUUUGACAUAUGAGGUAUUUGCAGAAGGCAUAAGAUUAUUCAUCACCAGAUCAUUUCCUACAAUUACAUUAGUGCUUUUCCAGA
This 940-nucleotide unclassified non-coding RNA is filed under the name Hevea brasiliensis (rubber tree). The record is from RNAcentral. Lineage: Eukaryota; Viridiplantae; Streptophyta; Magnoliopsida; Malpighiales; Euphorbiaceae.